Molecule: long non-coding RNA, 1644 nt
Filed under: Manacus vitellinus (golden-collared manakin)
Lineage: Eukaryota; Metazoa; Chordata; Aves; Passeriformes; Pipridae
Description: lncRNA (ENSMVIG00005013624.1)
Source: RNAcentral
GCCAGUUAUUACUUGGGAGAAGAUACCACACUCCACCUGUCUAAAACCUCCUGUCAGGUAGUUGAAGAGAGCAAUAAGAUCUCCCCCAAGCCCCUAUUUCUCCAGGCUGAGCAAAUCCAGCUCCCUCAGUCACUCCUCAAGUGGCCCCAAGACUGAGCCCUGGGGAACAGCACUGGUGACCAGCUGGCACCUGGAUGUAACUCCAUUCCCCACCACUCUCUGGACCCGGCUGUCCAUCCAGUUUUUCUGCCAGCAAAGAGCACACCUGUCCAAGCCACAAGCAGACAGAUUCUCCAGAAGAAUGCUGUGGGAAAGUGUCAAAGGCUUUACUAAACUACAGGGAAACAAAGCCUCUUCCUCAUCUACUAACCAGCUCUUCUUGUCAUGGGAGGAGAUCAGGUUACUCAGUCAAGCCUUAUGUUAAGUACCUCAGAAUCUUCCUCCUUCUCCUUCUUUGUCACUGUGCUUCCUCCCAACCAGCAAAGGCUGAAGAUUCUCCUGAGCCCUCCUUUUGUUGCUAAUGUACUUACUUAUUUUUUAGUCUUUUACAGCACUGGACAAAUUAACUUCCAGUCAGGUUUUGGCUCUUCUAAUUUUCUCCCUUCAUAACCCCACGACAGCUUGAAGUCCUCCUGAGUGGUUGCUCCUCCUUCCAAAGGUCAUAAACUCUCUGGCUCCAUCUGAGUUUCAUCUCAGUUCCAUCCAAAGCCCAGGCUGGCAGGGUGGGGUCACCAUGGGGCUCUGGCACCUGUGACAUCAGAGGGGACAAGUCCCCAGGUGCCCCAUCUGGCAGUGCAACCACCAUUUCCCUGCCACCCAGCCCUGCUGAGCCCCUUCUCUCCAUCCUCCUCCUCCAGGCCAUGGCUCUGAGCGUCACCCAAAUCCUCAUGGUGCUGGGUGUCCUACAGUUCACGCUGCUGAUGGAUGACCAGUCAGUCAAGGUCACGGAAGAGUUCCUGAAGCAGCAUGAGGAGCGUCUGAAUCAGGAGAUGGUUUGGCUGAAGGAGAUGGAGAAGAGCAUCCAGGAGCAGACCAAACUCAGUGAGGAAAGCCUGCUCCUCUCUGCCUGCCAGCAGUGGUGGUUCUGGGCCUUUGCUGAAAUCCUCCUCGUGAUUUUUGGGUUCUACUGGCUACCCAAGCAGAAGAGCGCUGGCUCUGAUGGCAGCAGCCAGUGGGGAAACUCCAGCAGUGCCCAGGAGCAGAGAAAGGAGAAGAACUGGGAAGAUAAACCAGACCCUUACAACACUCAAGACAAGCCUCUGGAUAAGGGCUCAGCACCGUGGUGUGUCUGCCAGCGAGACACUCCUACGGCUAUUUGCAGCACCCACCGGAGAACGUGCUGCACUUCCACCUCUGCUGCCUGACAAGCCACAUCCCUGCUUCCUGUGCAGCCUCUGCACCUGCUGCCAGUCCUGAUGCUCCCCCUGCCGGGAGGCGUGGGAAAGAUUCACCUUUUGUGCAUGUUACUAAAAUUGUUCGUUUGAUUUAAGAAAUGCUUUAUCUGUGGGUGUCUGGGCAAUGUUGGAGGAUGGUACCCCUUGGCUCCAUCUCCUCUCUCUAACAAAGAGAUGAAGUUUGUGCUCCAAUUUAUGUUUGCAGUGAUUACACUUGUGCCGAGGUGCUUAGCACCUCCCUGUCUUCUCC